This 492-nucleotide ribosomal RNA is filed under the name uncultured bacterium. RNAcentral's name for it is "partial 16S ribosomal RNA". It matches the Rfam family "Bacterial small subunit ribosomal RNA", at positions 29 to 507 of the family's 1533-position model. The record is from RNAcentral.
AGUGAACGCUGGCGGUAGGCCUAACACAUGCAAGUCGAACGGCAGCACAGUAAGGGCUUGCUCUUACGGGUGGCGAGUGGCGGACGGGUGAGGAAUACAUCGGAAUCUACUUUUUCGUGGGGGAUAACGUAGGGAAACUUACGCUAAUACCGCAUACGACCUACGGUUGAAAGCAGGGGAUCUUCGGACCUUGCGCGAUUGAAUGAGCCGAUGUCGGAUUAGCUAGUUGGCGGGGUAAAGGCCCACCAAGGCGACGAUCCGUAGCUGGUCUGAGAGGAUGAUCAGCCACACUGGAACUGAGACACGGUCCAGACUCCUACGGGAGGCAGCAGUGGGGAAUAUUGGACAAUGGGCGCAAGCCUGAUCCAGCCAUACCGCGUGGGUGAAGAAGGCCUUCGGGUUGUAAAGCCCUUUUGUUGGGAAAGAAAAGCAGCAGGUUAAUACCCCGCUGUUCUGACGGUACCCAAAGAAUAAGCACCGGCUAACUUCGUG